This 77-nucleotide transfer RNA is filed under the name Clostridium sp. RNAcentral describes it as "tRNA-Val". It matches the Rfam family "tRNA". From Rfam's summary of the family: Transfer RNA (tRNA) molecules are approximately 80 nucleotides in length. Their secondary structure includes four short double-helical elements and three loops (D, anti-codon, and T loops). RNAcentral also lists the same sequence under 6 other names. Lineage: Bacteria; Bacillati; Bacillota; Clostridia; Eubacteriales; Clostridiaceae. The record is from RNAcentral.
GGACGCAUAGCUCAGCUGGUUAGAGCGUUCGCCUCACACGCGAGAGGUCGAGGGUUCGAGUCCCCCUGCGUCCACCA